This is a long non-coding RNA of Halichondria panicea, 1069 nucleotides long. RefSeq lists it as uncharacterized. The record is from RefSeq and is a predicted model, not a curated record. Lineage: Eukaryota; Metazoa; Porifera; Demospongiae; Suberitida; Halichondriidae. The transcript has 2 exons.
UUCAGUCGUGGACUGUAGUACACUGUUAUUUUACAGGCAGAAGCACUGUGGGUGUAUGGUCGGACUUUCAGUUGUGGGUUUUCCAGGUACAAGCACUGAGGGUGGUCAGACUUUCAGUCGUGGGCUGUACGUAGCACCCAAUGUUAUUUUCCAGGUACAAGUACUGUUGGUGGCCAGACUUUCAGUCUACACACUAUUUAGUACAUGUACAUCAUUUACCGGUAUAUAAAGAAGCAGUAAACUUUACUUCACACCGUGAGAUUUUCAAUUGCUAAUCCUGUAAGAAGAUUGAAGAUGAAAGCUAUCAUUGGAGCACUUAUUCUACUCUACUGCUGCUCAGCAACACUGACUGCACCAAUAUCCAAAGUGUUAUUCAUUGAGCCUAAAACAAUCAACUACUAUGCUUCAUUUGUACGCUCCACGAUGACUAUUACAGGAACCAAUACCAUCAUGCACUUCCCCACUGGUGGGACUACCUCUGAGGAGUUGAUUCGAGUUCCCCUCGGUAAACUAGACCCCCACGUGGUAAUAAGAGUCACAGUUGCAAUGAAACCUCAUUCUCAAGGAGUAGAAAGUGACCCACACAUUGGACUUACCGACGGAGUGGCUGAAAAUCAUAUUAGACUUGGUGAUGGAAAUGGGGUCUGUUACCUUAACGGUGCCUCUUCUAAUACGGCCACCCUACCUUCAGGAUCGAAACAGCACUACGAGUACAUCUUAAUAUUCGAGCCAUUUCAAAACUACGGUGCAUGCUCUCACCUCGGGGGUCAUGUGACACCAGGAUACUUUAAUACCCGUAUUGAUGCAAGCAAAGGAUUGGAUUUUAUAGUGAAGAGAGAAAACACUGGAGAGCAGUAUAACUUCUACUACUUUCUCAUUGAGAUUCUCUAACUAUAUACAGCAGAACAUUUGCUAACACCCUUAGUAGCAACUGCUAGAAUUACUUAAGUAGAACAGACAUAAAUACGUAUUUAGUAUUACUAUAUUUAUAAUUAUAUACAUGUAUAUACAGUGUAUGCAUGCUGCCAUAAUCUUUUCUCAAAUAAAUUACAAAACAGUAACUACUGAA